UACGAAGGGGGCUAGCGUUGCUCGGAAUCACUGGGCGUAAAGGGCGCGUAGGCGGUCAGCACAAGUCAGUUGUGAAAUCUCCGGGCUUAACUCGGAAAGGUCAACUGAUACUGUGCGACUAGAGUGCAGAAGGGGCAACUGGAAUUCCGGGUGUAGCGGUGAAAUGCGUAGAUAUCCGGAGGAACACCGGUGGCGAAGGCGGCUUCCUGGACCGAUACUGACGCUGAGGCGCGAAAGCUAGGGGAGCAAACGGG
Molecule: ribosomal RNA, 254 nt
Filed under: uncultured bacterium
Lineage: Bacteria
Description: partial 16S ribosomal RNA
Rfam family: Bacterial small subunit ribosomal RNA
Source: RNAcentral